RNAcentral lists this ribosomal RNA (506 nucleotides) under uncultured bacterium. Its description in RNAcentral is "partial 16S ribosomal RNA". It matches the Rfam family "Bacterial small subunit ribosomal RNA", at positions 28 to 523 of the family's 1533-position model. The record is from RNAcentral.
GAUGAACGCUAGCUACAGGCUUAACACAUGCAAGUCGAGGGGUAACGAGAGGAAAGCUUGCUUUCCUUGUCGACGACCGGCGCACGGGUGAGUAACGCGUAUCCAACCUGCCCCCAACUAGGGAAUAACCUUGCGAAAGUAAGACUAAUACCCUAUAAUUUCCUCAGAUGCCAUCUGACGAGGAAUAAAGAUUUAUCGGUUGUGGAUGGGGAUGCGUCUGAUUAGCUUGGUGGCGGGGUAACGGCCCACCAAGGCAACGAUCAGUAGGGGUUAUGAAAGGAAGGUCCCCCACAUUGGAACUGAGACACGGUCCAAACUCCUACGGGAGGCAGCAGUGAGGAAUAUUGGUCAAUGGGCGGAAGCCUGAACCAGCAAAGUAGCGUGCAGGAUGACGGCCCUAUGGGUUGUAAACUGCUUUUAUACAGGAAUAAAGUUAGCCACGUGUGGUUAUUGGUAGGUACUGUAUGAAUAAGGACCGGCUAAUUCCGUGCCAGCAGCCGCCGUAA